Molecule: ribosomal RNA, 401 nt
Filed under: uncultured bacterium
Lineage: Bacteria
Description: bacterial SSU rRNA
Rfam family: Bacterial small subunit ribosomal RNA
Source: RNAcentral
GGGGAAUAUUGGACAAUGGGGGAAACCCUGAUCCAGCAAUGCCGCGUGAGUGAAGAAGGCCUUAGGGUUGUAAAGCUCUUUCGCCCGCGAAGAUAAUGACGGUAGCGGGAGAAGAAGCCCCGGCUAACCCCGUGCCAGCAGCCGCGGUAAUACGGAGGGGGCUAGCGUUGUUCGGAAUUACUGGGCGUAAAGCGUACGUAGGCGGAUGCGCAAGUUGGGGGUGAAAUCCCGGGGCUUAACCUCGGAAUUGCCCUCAAAACUGCACGUCUUGAGACCGAGAGAGGUAAGGGGAAUUCCUAGUGUAGAGGUGAAAUUCGUAGAUAUUAGGAAGAACACCAGUGGCGAAGGCGCCUUACUGGCUCGGUACUGACGCUGAGGUACGAAAGCGUGGGGAGCAAACA